This 71-nucleotide transfer RNA is filed under the name Loxodonta africana (African savanna elephant). It matches the Rfam family "tRNA". From Rfam's summary of the family: Transfer RNA (tRNA) molecules are approximately 80 nucleotides in length. Their secondary structure includes four short double-helical elements and three loops (D, anti-codon, and T loops). Lineage: Eukaryota; Metazoa; Chordata; Mammalia; Proboscidea; Elephantidae. The record is from Rfam by way of RNAcentral.
GCAGCGGUGGUUCAGUGGUAGAAUUCUCGCCUUCCAUGCGGGAGACCCUGGUUCGAUUCCCAACCAAUGCA